GACAGAGGGUGCAACCGUUGUUCGGAAUUACUGGGCGUAAAGCGAGUGUAGGCGGUCCGAUAAGUCGGGUGUGAAAGCCCUGGGCUCAACCCAGGAAGUGCACUCGAAACUGCCGGGCUAGAGUAUCGGAGAGGUUGGUGGAAUUCUCGGUGUAGAGGUGAAAUUCGUAGAUAUCGAGAGGAACACCGGUGGCGAAGGCGGCCAACUGGACGAAUACUGACGCUGAGACUCGAAAGCGUGGGGAGCAAACAGG
RNAcentral lists this ribosomal RNA (253 nucleotides) under uncultured bacterium. RNAcentral describes it as "partial 16S ribosomal RNA". It matches the Rfam family "Bacterial small subunit ribosomal RNA", at positions 524 to 776 of the family's 1533-position model. The record is from RNAcentral.